This 694-nucleotide ribosomal RNA is filed under the name uncultured bacterium. RNAcentral's name for it is "bacterial SSU rRNA". It matches the Rfam family "Bacterial small subunit ribosomal RNA", at positions 32 to 715 of the family's 1533-position model. The record is from RNAcentral.
AACGCUAGCUACAGGCUUAACACAUGCAAGUCGAGGGGCAGCAUGGUCUUAGCUUGCUAAGGCCGAUGGCGACCGGCGCACGGGUGAGUAACACGUAUCCAACCUGCCGCCUACUCUUGGACAGCCUUCUGAAAGGAAGAUUAAUACAAGAUGGCAUCAUGAGUUCACAUGUUCACAUGAUUAAAGGUAUUCCGGUAGACGAUGGGGAUGCGUUCCAUUAGAUAGUAGGCGGGGUAACGGCCCACCUAGUCUUCGAUGGAUAGGGGUUCUGAGAGGAAGGUCCCCCACAUUGGAACUGAGACACGGUCCAAACUCCUACGGGAGGCAGCAGUGAGGAAUAUUGGUCAAUGGGCGAGAGCCUGAACCAGCCAAGUAGCGUGGAGGAUGACUGCCCUAUGGGUUGUAAACUUCUUUUAUAAAGGAAUAAAGUCGGGUAUGCAUACCCGUUUGCAUGUACUUUAUGAAUAAGGAUCGGCUAACUCCGUGCCAGCAGCCGCGGUAAUACGGAGGAUCCGAGCGUUAUCCGGAUUUAUUGGGUUUAAAGGGAGCGUAGAUGGAUGUUUAAGUCAGUUGUGAAAGUUUGCGGCUCAACCGUAAAAUUGCAGUUGAUACUGGAUAUCUUGAGUGCAGUUGAGGCAGGCGGAAUUCGUGGUGUAGCGGUGAAAUGCUUAGAUAUCACGAAGAACUCCGAUUG